Molecule: non-coding RNA, 96 nt
Organism: Mycena haematopus
Lineage: Eukaryota; Fungi; Basidiomycota; Agaricomycetes; Agaricales; Mycenaceae
Source: the annotation of a GenBank genome assembly
GUGCUCUUGGUGUAGUGGUAACACAUGUUCUAGAAAUAGUCGUGGAUAUAAGGCUGAUUUAUAAGCAAGUCUGGGGUUCGAAUCCCUGAGAGCACA